Molecule: long non-coding RNA, 24420 nt
Filed under: Coffea arabica (coffee)
Lineage: Eukaryota; Viridiplantae; Streptophyta; Magnoliopsida; Gentianales; Rubiaceae
Description: long non-coding RNA (CARA_LNC003870)
Source: RNAcentral
UGGGGCAUGCGUAUACAAUGGAGAAAGCACAAAGGAAAAGCGCUGUAAAAUUAAAGCUAAUGCCAUUUUUGCUUCAAGCAGAGCAAAGUUUUGCCCAAUGCAUAUCCGAGGUCCCCCACCAAAUGGCAGAAAACACGGCUGGCCCUUAGUAGCCUUUGCAACUCCCUCGCUAAAUCUCUCUGGGUUGAAUUCCUUUGCAUCAUCACCCCAUAAACUUGGAUCAUGAUGUAGCAAGAUUGAAGGCAUCAAGACAAUCAUUCCAGCAGGUGGAGACAGUUCCCCUAAUUUAGUGUCUUCGUUAACCUCCGGGAAAUCAUAACUCCUGGUGUAUAUAGUCUUGGAACCUCAUUAAGGAUCAUAGUCACCUGUAAAAGAAGAAUUACAAAUCGAUGCUUAAAUGGAGUGUGAACUUCGUUCCAAGAGAAGAAAAUUGUAAGAUAAGUAUCCAGACAAUGUCAACUAAUAGCUGUUGCCUACUAGAAAGCAGAAACAUUACACUACACUCGGAUAUCGUUGUGCUUCAGGUAAUGGCAAAAGUAAAACAUGUCCUGAGUGAAUGGAAUGUUAAGCUAUGAUAUUCCUUAUGAAGUCUUCUGCAUCCGAACCCACGAAACCAAUUAUUCAUCAAAAGAGAACCUAAAAAACAAGUCUGAAAUGUGGCCAACAUUCAUGAUAUUCGAGUUUAGUCACUGCAGAUUGGUGAUACAAAACUGAAAUUCUUGAAUAAUAUCAAACUAUUCUGUCAUCAGAGCUUGUCCUCUUGAUAAAUUGAAGCUACUUACAAUUUUCAGCCAAUUUAAAUCUUCAAAAUCCGGUAUAUUGUUGCCAAAGACCUGAAGAACCUCAUCCCUAGCACGAGCUUGCCAGUCUGAAUGCUUGCUCAACAAAAUUAGCGUCCACACAAGCAAGAUUGCAGUUGUCUCAUGUCCAGCAAAAAAGAAUAGCUUGCACUCCUGAAUGACCCCUUCAGAAGUCAUCCCACACCUUUCAUUCCCAUGUUAUUGGAACUCCUUGAAGUUGGGUUCUAGAAGUAAACCCAACAAGUCACUAUGAAAAUUUUUUUCAUAUUUUUUGUUUCUUUUAUGGAAUAUCGAGUAAUGUGAUAGGACGAUUUUCUGCAGCAAAUCAGCCUUGGAUUGAUCUCUUUAUAGAUUAAGAGAUGUCACAUGUUGGUUAUAAUCAUCCAAGUGAUGACCUUUCAUUACUAAAGUUGUUACUUCUAUUCUAAUAGUACUUGAAUGAUUAAUUGUAGUACUUCACACUUGAAUGAACAGCCACAAAUUUUGUUAUUUUGUGAACCUUGAAACCUUUCAUCUUUUGAAAAUCUCCAACAAAUUCAUGGUGAUUAAAAGUUUUGCAAAUAAAGCCAACUCAACUGAGAUAAUUAGAUUCUCUGUAGUUUAAUUUCUUCAACAAAUGUUUGACCAGGAAGAAAAAAUGGUGAGUAUAGCCUUAAAACCUCAUGCAAGAUCAUUGUGAUAUGUGAGAAAUGGAAGGAGACUACUUAAGACAAUUUAUUGGCAUAUGAGAAGCUGCAACCUAUCAUGAGUUGACUUAUAAUUUUUUAGGUUAAAAGUUCUUUUACGUACAAUAUGCUAUGGAUUUUGGUAUAUAAUUGACAUACAAUCUUUUAGGUUAUACAGACCAUCAAAUUGUGAUAUUUUUGGUCCCAGCAAUGUGUUGCAAAAUCUAUUCUCCAGCACGUUCUCGCUAGUCUGGGCAGAUGCUGAAUACAACAGCUUACACUCUUCAAUAAUUUCUCUUGUAAUCGCACAGAAUUUCGUCUUGCCUAAGCUGCAUUGGAGAUCCACUUACCACGAAGAAAUAUUUUUGAAUACUAGCUAAUAAGAUUUACAGACUCUACUGAUUAAUGUUUGAGAACAGCUGUUAAAUGAUUUUAAGCCAUGACAAGCCAUUUGUUUUCUCCAUUAUCAAAGAAAAAGGAAAGAUCUCUUGCCAAAUUAAACGAGUAGAUGUAGUAUUUCUCUCUUAAUUCGCCGUGAGAAAUACAUUACGUGAAUCUGUACUGCUAUAUUCAUACAGAUCCAUUGACAUACCAAACUGGGCGGGACUUAAACUAGUUUACAAGCAAAGUUAAGCAUAGAAGAUGGUGCUUUAUUUCGUUAAAAGAUAAUCUGCUGCCACACGGGCGAGCAAGUCAUACAUAUGAAACAAAAACUAUAUCUUCUGCAAAAUCAAGUGAGCUCCAUACUGGGGUUGAACUAGUGCUGUAGCUGUUCCAGGAGCAUGAGUAUAAGAUGGUGAGAGUUCCAAGGAGAAGCGUUGCAGAAUCAUAGACAUUGCCAAUUUCGCUUCCAACAUGGCAAAAUUUUGUCCAAUGCAAAUGCGAGGUCCCCAGCCAAAUGGAAAGUAUGCAACGUGGCCCUUUGUUGCAUGUGAUGCUCCUUCAGCGAACCUCUCAGGCUUGAAUUCCUUCACAUCCUCGCCCCAUAUAUCAGGGUCAUGAUGCAUCAGCAAUAUUGGUAAGGUGAGUUGCACUCCAGCCGGGAGAGUUAAAUUUCCUAAUUUAGUUUCUUCAAUAGUUCUUCGACUCAUUGUAGCCAAUGGUGGCCACAACCUUAAAACCUCAUGCAAGAUCAUGGUGACCUAUGACAAGGGGACCAAACAAAAAAAAAAAAAAGUGUGAGAGUAAUUAGAUGUCUAUGCAGACGAGAAGCUUCAAAAAACUUCGUUAAUUAGUAUGCCUCUCCUGCUAUUAGUGCAAUUUUUCAAAUCAAUGAAAUGAUCAUUGCUAAUUUUUUAUGUUUUUCAAAGAAAAAGAUUGGCUUACAAUUUUGAGGUGAUUUAGCCCAUCAAAGUCCGGAUCCUUAGUUCCAAAUUGUUGCAAGACCUCCUCUCUAGCACGUGCCUGCCAUUCGGGGUACCUGCACAGUAAGACCAUUGUCCAGACAAGAAAUGCAGAAGUAGUCUCCUGGCCAGCAAAAUAGAACAGCUUGCACUCAUCAACAAUUUCUUCGGUAGUCAUACCAAAGUCCUUGUUUCCAUGCUUCUCGAUUUCUUGAGAAUUGGAUUGAAGCAUUAAUCCCAACAAGUCAUCAGAGCCGGCUUCUCCUGCUCUCAUUGCCUUUCUUCUUGUGUUGAUCAUUUCCCUAACUGAACCAUUAACUUCUAUGGCAAUCUGUUUCAUUCUUCUGUUCCUCUUGGUUGGCAAGAACCUAAUAAAAGAUCAUAGUUUAGCAAAAAAACAAAAGCAAGAACAAACUAUGUUUGCAAUAAUGUACAUCCUGGGAUGUUGAUUUCUAGGAGAACCAUUGAUUUCUAGGAGUCACAAUUUUCUACAGCACUCAAGAAUUCAUGAUCAAUCUACCUAAAUCCUGGGAUGUUGAUGUACACCGACCGUGCUGCCUCCAUCACAUCCUCAGUUUGCUCUCUCUGGAGCUCAAAGAUCCUUCUUCCUUCUUCAUAGUUGCUGCCAAAUGCUGUACGAGAAAUUGCAUCGCUGGUAAGAGCUUUAAGAUUGGGCCAAACAUCCACUUCAGCCAACCCCUUUGGUGAAACAACAUUCUCCCAUUUCGUCACCAUCUCACUUGCACUUUUAUAAAAGGCUGGAAGCAUAAGCUAUUUAUCCAUAAAAGAAAAGAAAAUCAGUGAAAGAAACUACUUCAUAUUGAAGGCUACUUAGUAAAUAAAUGAUGCAAUUUACUAAGGACUGUCCAAUGCAGAGAGUGUUUUCAAUUUUAGGAUAUAAUAAAUGUGUGUGUGUCAAUAAAUGAGAAUUUGAAACCCAUAAAAUGAUUAAAUUAGAGAGAAGAGAACCUUCAAUUUCUCAACGUGGAAAGCUGGGUUGAGGAGCUUUCUCUGUUUGGCCCAUUUUUCUCCCUCAUAGCUCACUAGUCCUUGAGCCACAAGUCUGCCGAGUGGAUUAACAGGGAGCUUCCAGAAAUCAUCAAUCUUUUGUGUAACUGCCUUUAUUAGAUUAGGGUCCAUGAUCACCACGGCAGGUGUCGGCCCAAACCAUAAAUAUGUAUUUUUACCUGGAAGUCAGAGCCGCUUCGAUUAGGGGCCGAAAACUAGAAAGUAUAAAUAGUCAAAUGCCUUCCACUCAGAAAGGAUAAUAAAAUCAAGUGUCUCAAAAAAUAAAAAUACAAGGGCAAAAUACUAAAAUAAUUCAAAUUCUUCAACAAAAAUUUUUUUUUUUGCAUCAAUCAACCUAAUAAACUAUUUAAAGUGAUUCAAUCAGCUCAUUUCCAUCACAUUCCAUCAAAAUCUUCGAUUAAGUUAACUAUUCAGAAUGUCAAGUACGAGCAAUUGGUAGGGAUAAAAUUGACAUUUCUUCUCAUCCACCUCCCUAAUCGACUAAAAUUCUUCAUUCUCAUCAACUUAACUCCCAAAACCUUGAGAAUUUGGUGGAGUGCAAUUUCAACUCUUUUAAGGUUCUUUUAAGGUUCUUGAGAAUUUGAUCGACAGAUUUGUUUUUUGUUCCUGCCAAAUUGCACACAUCCAUUAGCUUUACGGGACAUGUUGACGGAUCGAAAAAAGAAUUGAAAAAAGAUUCACAAAGAUAGUAAAACAAACAAACCACAAAUAGAAAUUAAAAGAAAACAAGAAAGGAAACUUGAAGUCUAAAGCUUAUUGGGAGCAUAGAUUUUUGUCGGAACUUUAAUCCUUGUUUUGUUUAUUUGAUCAUUUGAUUGCUUAUUUAAUCUGAUCAUAAUUGAUUUCAAAUUCAAGAUUCAAUCUUCAUUGUCAAAUGACAUGCAUAAUUACUGAUAAUCAAUUAAUUAUUAGGACGAAAUAAUAAAUAUCAGCUGUAUUGAGGCCCUUUAUGACAAUUCCAAGUUGUAAAACAAUAACAAGCGGAAAAAAAAAAUACAAAACGACCAAGAAAAACGACCAUCCUAAAAUACAAAAGCUGAAAGGGAAUUCAUACACCCUAAUACUAUAAUAUUACUCGUAUUUAAGUACGAAAUACAUCAGUCUGAAAAAUCAAUUGUCCGUACAGGUUGGAGACAUUAGUAUAUCUCAUUUACUAUUUUCCCUUUUUUUUUUCUCUUUUUUUGGGUAAGUAUCUUAGUCACUAUUUUUCAACAUCGAAAAGAAAAAGAGUAAAAGAAAAGGAGGUAAAUGAUAUUCUAUCUAACCAAAAGCAGAAAAAAGGGAAAAAAAAUGGAGAUCAUACGAGGGACAAAAGAGGUUACGAGGCAAAGAGAUGGAAGCAGAGUUGAUGAGAACAAUAAAUACUACCAUAUUUCUUAACGGCUCCAAGAUAUUGAGGAAUAACUCUUGGUACGAUGUCGUCGGAGAGAUUAAGAUUCUUGGAUUGGGCUUCUGUGUACAGGGUGGACAUCUCUUUGAAGUCUCCAUGGAGCAGCUUGUAAGGGUUUCCCCGGAAACCUUGCUCUUUCAGACGUUUCUCCAGCUUCUUCGGCCUAAACCAUACCCAGUUCAAAGCUUUCCAUGAUACUGCUACUACCAGAAGAAGAAGAAGACAAGAAGAAUACACAGUAAACAUUGAUACACCAUAGGGGGUUUCCAUGUUGUGUUUUUGUUUUGUUGGUUUUCUUGUGAGAUUUCUACCUUUGUUGCGUGCAAAUUUAUAUUCAAGUUGGGGCGAUGAUAACCUUUGGUUUUGUGCGUCUGCACCGCCAUCCGUUUAUUACUUGGAGAACAGUAGGAACUUUUAGCUCAGCACAGCAUGAUUGGCUUGGUACACGAGAAUUUGGAGCCUAUUUCUAUAUAUUUCUCGGAUUUUAGAGCAAAGUUUUUUUUUUUGGGUGCAAUUGAGGUCCUCCAAGCCAAUUUAAUUUAACUGGACCUUUAAGGCAAUUUAAUUAGAACAAUUUUGUCACAGAAUUAGAAGGACAGUCGAACAUUGUAUAAACCCUAUCGGAAAAACAAACAUAGAGUGGAAGUUUUAAUUAAAGGAUAAUUUUUUAUGUGCUUUAAAAUGUUAAACAGUUAUUUUUCUUUGGUAAGUAAAUUUCUAAACAAUUAUUUUUGUACAGAAACACUAAUUUUGCUAACCUUAAAACGUUAUAUGCGUUCAAAUCUCUCCUCUCCUUUCUUAUUUUUUAAAUACCAUCCCUUCCUUAUUAAUUUUUUUUUAUUUUUAAAAAUGAUGCAUGUGUGAACAUAGAGGAGGUGACAUUCAAAGCAAAUAUAGAAAACACUCUCAAAUGUGGAUAAUUCUCAAGUACACUAAACAUGGAAAAUUUUAUGAACAUGGCUGUAUUGAGUGUAAAAAUGAGGUGGAACUGAAUAAAAUUCAUGUGGCAUUUCUGUGAGUUUUAGGUGGAAAUCAUAAGUUAUGAUUCGAUUAAAUAAGACCAAACUUCAAUUAAGCAAUGCUAUUGCGGUGUAGUAUCGUGUAUUGAUUCAACCUUCAUAACUUACUCGUAAUCAUUUCAUAAAAAAAAUAAGAUGGGGCAACAAAAUUAGGGAAAGAAUAAAAUUUCGUGUUGAAUAUCCAAAUCUUGUACUGUAGAACAAUUUCGAGCUUUUUGGUACGUGUAACAUAAAUAUAGUAGUGUGACAGCUAAAGUAGACAGAGACAGCUUAGGAAACUAGCAGGGUCAGAGGAUUUAGAAGGACAUAAAAGACUAGAACUCAAUUUCAACAAAUUGUUUAAGAUUGUACUAGCAAGAACCAAGCUGUGUCAGCAGUUAUUGAAGGCGAGUCACAAUGAAAGCAACUAUUGAAAGUGAAAAAUGAAUUUGCAAAAAAAUUAUCUAAGAGGUUGAAAGAGUAGAACUUGACGUACAUUCAACAGUUAUAAUUGUUCAAAAGUCAUGAUGCAUUAAUUAGCGGUGACACUGCGAUUAAUCAUUGGGGGUAGUCUGGUGGUUAGGGGAAGAUUUAUAGAGUCUCUCACUGUUAGAUUUAGGAAUUGAAUUGUGUGGCUGAAAAUUUCUCAUAUGCUUGAACAUGUUAGGGGGAAGAAAUUGCACUUAGAACAUGUAAGUAUUAUAUCUCAAAAUCAACACAAAAAAGUGAAAAUCAUGAAUUCGCUAAAGAAAGAUAUGGAAUUUGCAAAAUCGAAUAUUUUAGACGAAAUCAAUCUUAAGUACAGAGUUAGCAUAAAUUUCAACAAUCCUCUGAUUUUAAUGCCUAAAUAUUCAAUUAUUACAUGGGAAAAAUCCGGAACAUGGAAUGAGUCAAACUAUGUGUUUGAAUUGGAGAUGAUUUGAGAUAAUUUUUCAAAAAAAAUAUUGUAUCAUACACUAUUUUUUGAUAUGAUGUAUAUAAAGUAAAAAAAUAAUUAAAAAAUAUGUUAAUAAUGAAAAUAAAUAAAUUUCAGUGAACAAAGCACCGUCCAAACAAACACACAAACUAGAUGACCUAUGCCAUGACGAUGGCAGACAAUCUUUCUCGAGGAAAAAUAUGACCAAGCUUUGUUUUCUUUCCAAGUAUGUUAAAUUGAUCCUUAAAUAUAUCUAUGCCCUUUAUGUUUUGAGCACUUUAAUCCAAACUGUCUUUUCCUCUUGUCUUGGGAGCUCCGCUGAAAUAUGAUAUUUGUGAGGUGAAAAAUAAAUUAAUAAAUUAAAACCAGAAGUCAUGAAGUCAACGUACAGAAUGGGAUAAAUUAUGGUAAAUUACAAUAUGAGUCCGUUGUUCUAAAAUUUUAUCACACAAUCCCCCUAUUAUUCCACAAUAUCCAAUUGAUGCCCAGUGACUUUGUGUAAAAUUCAGAUUAGCCGAAAAGCAAGACCUGAUAAAUUACAAAGGAAUGUGCAUAGUUGUUUUAAAUUUGAAUACCUCAUUAGUCGUCUCAAUGGUUUAUUAUUUUUUUUAAAAAAAUAAAUCUGAAGAUUAAAGCUUCUAGGGAGAGUUAGAUGUCUUUAAAUGGAAAGUACGUGUUGAAAGACAAAAGGGAGUGCUGGAGUACUGGCAAAUGGCAACAAAAUAGGGAACAAAUCAAAAUGAAUUGUUAUUCAAGAAUCAUAGAGAUUUCCAAAAACAAAAUUUUUUUUUUUUUAGAGCAGCAAAUUAAUUAAGUUGUUACAUGGUAGUCCUUUUUAAGUAUAGAGCAAAACUAUGGCCCUUUGAGUAGAAUGGUUUUUACCAAUUUGGAUAAACUUUGCAAUUGCUAUGCUUAAUUUUGUUGUCGAUUUCGUGUGACUAUUUAAAAUUGGCAUGCCAUAAAGGCCGAAGAGUGGGAAUUGCUGUAUUAAAAUUCUAUAGUUUCGAUUAAACUUCGUAUUAUCGUCUUAAAGUAGAGAAAAUGAGCAUAUCACUAACUGCAAAAUGAGGUUAACAUAUUCAUUCCUUUUUUUUUUCAUAAUAGGGGAGGUAUGUGGGUUUAAGAAGUAGCGAGGGAAAAAGGGAGAUUAAAACCUAAAAACUCUAUAUUUAGGGUCUCAACCCUCAAAUUUAGCCACUAAGCCAAUGUCUUCUUGGCGCAUAUUCAUUUCAUUUGAUGAUUCUAAGUGGCCUUGCAGUGGAUAGUUAAUCAAAGCCGGACUAUGACCUAUAACCCUCAUUUGGGAAAAAAUUUAGCUUUAAUUAUUUCAUGUAUUCAAAAUCGCAUUCAAGGUUGCAAUCAAAUUGACAUCAUAGUUCCAUCUAGGUUACGAUGUAGCAAUUGCCAGUUGAAUCAUAGGCAUAUUUUAUAUUUACGAUAUCGAUUGUUAUGAAAAAAAAGUCAGAAUCGGCUUUGAAAUUCAUUCUUGAUUGUUUCUAGCAGAAAAAAGAAGAAUGACAAAAUAUUUUGGACCCAUAUUAGAGCACAUUUAUGUCGAGUAAUUACAUAGUAUUGCUAGCCAAGAAAAAUCAAAUGAACAUUUAAAACGCUACGUUAACUAACUUGUCUUUUAUUCCCCCACUAUUUUGUUCUCUUAAAUUGAAAUUUCAACAAUCAUUAUAACAUUUUAAACGAUAAUAACAAUAUAUAUAUAUAUAUAUAUAUAGCUAAUCAUAUUUUUUACACAUUUCCUCAGAGUUGCAUUAUGCAAAGGGUCAAACCACAAUAUUCUAAAAGUUUUGGUCUUAAAAAUAAAAGUCAUUCUCCUUUUAUUUGACUAAUUCUUCCUGCUGGCCUGCUUCUCUUCAGCCUAAAAUUGCUCCCCACUUGUUCGUAUUCUUCGUGUUCUAUUCCGCGACAUUUUCCAUUUCCUACAUUGUUAAACCGUGGAACGAAUUGCAAGCCUGCAAUGUUGAAGGCAAAUUAAACAAAGAGCUCUUAAACAACUUCAUUUUAGAUCUAAGAGAAAAUAUCAAUCUUCACAACUUCGUAGCAAAUUAAACAAAGACUGAUAACAAGAUUUCUUGUUUUACAGUUUCUUUAAGAUCAACUAAGCUCCAUACUGGGGUUGAAGAGUGAGCACAACUUGAGGAGCAUGUGCAUAACUCGGCGAAAGCUCCCAAGAAAAGCGCCGUAAGAUCAAAGCCAGCGCCAUCUUUGCUUCCAGCGUAGCAAAAUUUUGCCCAAUGCAAGUUCGAGGUCCCCAACCAAAUGGAGAACCUCAUCUAAUACCGGCUUCAUUGUUGUCAAAAACCUGUAGAACCUCAUCUCUGGCACGAGCCUGCCAAUCAAAAUGUUGACUCAAUAAAAUUAAUGUCCAGACGAGCAAUCCUGAGGUUGUCUCUUGUCCAGCCAAAUAGAAUAGCUUGCACUCUUCGAUGACUUCUUCAAGGCUCAUGCCGUUCUUAUUUCCACGUUGUCGGAUCUCAUUCAAAUUGGAUUCCAACAAAAUACCCAACAAGUCAUCACUUGUAGCUUCACCUGUUUGAAUUUCCUUCAGCCUUUCGUUGAUAAUGCCCAUAACUAUUGAGUUUACUUCCUUGAAAAUCUUCUGCAUUCUUUUGCUUCUUUUUGUUGGCACAAAACUGUAACGUGCCUCCACCCUGGAAGGUAAAUGGAUUGCAUAACUUGCUCAAAAUACAAAGCCUGUUCUCUUUGGAGUUCAAAAAUCCUUCGCCCUUUUUCAUAGUUGCUACCAAAAGCUGUUCCGGAAAUUACAUCACCAGUAAAUGUUUGAAGCUAAGGCCACACGUCUAAUUCAAAAGAUCCUUCUGCGGGGGCAAGGUCCUCCUAUUUGCUUAACAUCUCAUUACAACUCAGAUAAAAUGCUGGCACCGUGUACUAUUGUGAAGCAUCAAAAGUGAGAACGGAAAUAUUAAUCAGUCAAAUUUUAGAAUUGGAAAGGCUGGAUUUGGUUCUAUAUCUGAACUAGAUUGGAACCAUAACUACAUUUGUAUGAUGCAAAUACCAAACACUAGCCAGUCCCAUGUCUGAUAAAUAACAAGAAACAGCCAAAAGCAUGUAAGAUAUUGAAACAACACCAAAUUUCAGGAGAAAAAGCAAGAAACAACCUUCAAUUUCUCUACAUGAAAUGCAGGAUUCAAUAAUCUUCUGUGUUUGGCCCAUUUUUCUGUAUCCAGGCUAGCAAGUCCUAGUGCUAGAAGUUUACUGAUUGGAUUUGCCCGAGGCUUCUGAUAAGUAAAAUUUUUUGUGAAGACCUCCUUCACUUGUUCAGGAUCCAAGAUAACCAUUGCCGGCCUUGGUCCAAGCCAAAAAAAGCUAUUUUUACCUACAAAAUAAUUUUUGAUAAGCAACUUAUCCACUCUAAAAUAAAAAGAUUGGGUCAACCAUAUAUGAAAUGCAUGAUUGCUGAAAAACACAGCAAACCAAAUAGUCUUCAGGCAAAUUUGGAGAACAAACCUUUAUGUUGCAUUGUUUCAUUGAUGAAGGGCACGAAUCUGGGAAAGAUAUCAUCUGUUAAAGAAAUUGGUUUGGACUUAGCCUCCUCAAGCAUCCUUCCCAUGUCUCUGGUGUCUCCAAACAAGAACCUGUAAGAGUUUCCCUGUAGACCUUGCCGCCUGAGGCGUUUCUCCAUCUUCUUUGGUGUGAUCCAAGCCCAAUUCAAGAAUCUCCAUGCCCCGAUGAGAAGAACUAUAACUGACGAAACUCCAAUCAAGCUAUAGAAAAAGUCCAUUUUCUCUGAUGCGCUUCCACUCCUUCAGUCAAACUUUCUGCUGGCAGGGGGAACUUGCGAAGCGGUUAGUUAUUAAGGAGGGAGAACCUCAACUUUGGGACACAUAAUUCUGAAAUCUAUGCAUAUCCAUCUGUAAAAUCAGCAAAGACAAAGUAGCUUGAUGGUAUGUUCUAUGUUUACGGCAUCUGCUUAAAUGGAGAUGCUCUGAGGCUUCAACACUCGCCUAUAAAGGACAUUUGAGCCUUUAAUAUUCUUGUUUAUGGUAAAAUGAUUUUUCUACUCGUUCACUUAAAUUACACUUAAUUUACUGUAUGAACACACAUAAUACAAUUAUUAUAUCCUCUGUAUUUAAACGCUUUCCUAGUAACUACACUUUUAAAAAAAAAAUAAAAAUUAGCACUCUUGAGGCCCCCCUAACAGAGGGGACGAUAAAGGAGAACAAAUCAACAAAGCUCGAUUAUCCUGCAAGCCUCGCAAAUCAUCAUCAGAAGUCUUUUUCUAUUUGCCUUCUAGAAAAGAGUCAGUUCAAUAAAUAGAACUUGAGAAUUUGACUUUUGAUUUACCGUAAAAAAAAAAGAAGAAGAAGAAGACUAUGACCGGCUAACUCCACGUAUAAAUGGCUAUUGUUAGAAUAGCUACUCUUUGAGCAGUCAUCCAUGGCUAUUAUUAAUGUGCUACUCCUGAAUGACCUCUUCAGAAGUCAUCCCAAACCUUUCAUUCCCAUGUUCUUGGAUCUCCUUGAAGUUGGGUUCUAGAAGUAAACGCAACAAGUCACUAUGAAAAUUUUCAUCAUAUUUUUUGUUUCUUUUACGGAAUAUCUAGUAAUGUGAUAGGACGAUUUUCUGCAGCAAAUCAGCCUUGGAUUGAUCUCUUUAUACAUUAAGAGAUGUCACAUGUUGGUUAUAAUCAUCCAAGUGAUGACCUCUCAUUACUAAAGUAGUUACUUCUAUUCUAAUAGUACUUGAAUGAUUAAUUGUAGUACUUCACACUUGAAUGAACAGCCACAAAUUUUGUUAUUUGAUAGUGAUAUAAUUAUGUGUUUUAUUUAUUGGUAUUUGGUCUUAAUUUUGGUUACUUAUUGUGCAAGACACUGAAUUUCUGCCCAGAUUUGAUAUUUGUGUUAUUGACAGACGAGUGGUGUUAAAAGUGACAAGAAGAGAUAAAUUCCAGAAGACUAGGGUCUUGUUUGGAUUGCCGUUUUCCGUCGAAAAAUUACGUCGUUUUCUGUGAUCACAUUUUCUUAUUAUCUUUUUCCUUCACAUAUAUCAAAUCGCUACAAUAAUUUUUUCAUGAAAAAUGAUGAAAAAUAUAAUCCAAACGGGGCUAGGCAUUCUACAGCGCCUUGAAGAUAAAGUAGCGAGUUGCCAGUUGUUUUUUUACUAGUAUUUUUUUUUAAUUUUUUUUAUAAUUAAAAAAUUGAUGUGGUAAGCGACAGGAAUCAGCCCGAAUUGAAUCAUUGAUAUGACAAAACCAUUUGCUCUGUACCAAGUUUUGUCAUUUUGUCAGUCUACAAAAACCGCUUGGCCAGCGGUCAAAUUGGCGUUAUUUUUCCUGCAGAUUGCAUUUUCUAGAAUUUAUUUGUAAAAAAGUUACUAUGACAAUUUAAUGAAUGUAAGAAAAAAAAAUGUGAUAUUUUUUUGUUCCAGCAAUGCAUCGCAAAAUCUCUUCUGUAGCACGUUCUUGCUGAAUAAGACCGUUGUCCAAACAAUUCAUUUAAUUUCAUCAUGUCUAAUUAAGUUCCAUUGGAGAUCGACUUACCACUAAGAAAUACUUUUUAAAUACUAGCUAAUAAAAUUUAUAGAGUCUACAAAUUAAUAAUGUUUGAGAACAGCUGUUAAAUGAUUUUUAAUUAAGCCAUUUGUUUUCUCGAUUAUCAAAGAAAAAGGAAAGAUAUCCUGCAAAAUAAGUAAAACCAGUAGAUGUAAUAUUAUUAUUUCUCUCUUAAUUCGCCAUGAAAAAUACAUGCAUUACGUGAAUCUGUCUGUACUGCUGUAUAUAUUCAAACAGAUCCAUUGACAUAUCAUAUUGGGCGAGACUUAAACUAAGUUUACAAGCAUAGAAGGUGCUUUAUUUCCUUCAAAGAUAAUCUGCUGCCACAGGGGCUAGCAAGUCAAACUAUCAUAUCUUCUGCAAAAUCAAGUGAGCUCCAUGCUGGGGUUGAACUAGUGCUAAUAAGGCUGUUCGAGGAGCAUGAGUAUAAGAUGGCGAGAGUUCAAAGGAGAAGCGUUGCAGAAUCAUAGACAUUGCCAGUUUUGCUUGCAACAUGGCAAAAUUUUGUCCAAUGCAAGUGCGAGGUCCCCAGCCAAAUGGAAAGUAUGCAAGUGCCUGGCCCUUUGUUGCAUGUGAUACUCCUUCAGCAAACCUCUCAGGCUUGAAUUCCUUCACGUCCUCGCCCCACAUAUCAGGGUCAUGAUGCAUCAGCAAUAUUGGUAAGGUGAGUUGCACUCCAGCCGGGAGAGUUAAAUUUCCUAAUUUAGUUUCUUCAAUAGUUCUUCGACUCAUUGUAGCCAAUGGUGGCCACAACCUUAAAACCUCAUGCAAGAUCAUGGUGACCUAUGACAAGGGGACCAAACAAAAAAAAAAAAAAAGUGUGAGAGUAAUUAGAUGUCUAUGCAGACGAGAAGCUUCAAAAAACUUCGUUAAUUAGUAUGCCUCUCCUGCUAUUAGUGCAAUUUUUCAAAUCAAUGAAAUGAUCAUUGCUAAUUUUUUAUGUUUUUCAAAGAAAAAGAUUGGCUUACAAUUUUGAGGUGAUUUAGCCCAUCAAAGUCCGGAUCCUUAGUUCCAAAUUGUUGCAAGACCUCCUCUCUAGCACGUGCCUGCCAUUCGGGGUACCUGCACAGUAAGACCAUUGUCCAGACAAGAAAUGCAGAAGUAGUCUCCUGGCCAGCAAAAUAGAACAGCUUGCACUCAUCAACAAUUUCUUCGGUAGUCAUACCAAAGUCCUUGUUUCCAUGCUUCUCGAUUUCUUGAGAAUUGGAUUGAAGCAUUAAUCCCAACAAGUCAUCAGAGCCGGCUUCUCCUGCUCUCAUUGCCUUUCUUCUUGUGUUGAUCAUUUCCCUAACUGAACCAUUAACUUCUAUGGCAAUCUGUUUCAUUCUUCUGUUCCUCUUGGUUGGCAAGAACCUAAUAAAAGAUCAUAGUUUAGCAAAAAAACAAAAGCAAGAACAAACUAUGUUUGCAAUAAUGUACAUCCUGGGAUGUUGAUUUCUAGGAGAACCAUUGAUUUCUAGGAGUCACAAUUUUCUACAGCACUCAAGAAUUCAUGAUCAAUCUACCUAAAUCCUGGGAUGUUGAUGUACACCGACCGUGCUGCCUCCAUCACAUCCUCAGUUUGCUCUCUCUGGAGCUCAAAGAUCCUUCUUCCUUCUUCAUAGUUGCUGCCAAAUGCUGUACGAGAAAUUGCAUCGCUGGUAAGAGCUUUAAGAUUGGGCCAAACAUCCACUUCAGCCAACCCCUUUGGUGAAACAACAUUCUCCCAUUUCGUCACCAUCUCACUUGCACUUUUAUAAAAGGCUGGAAGCAUAAGCUAUUUAUCCAUAAAAGAAAAGAAAAUCAGUGAAAGAAACUACUUCAUAUUGAAGGCUACUUAGUAAAUAAAUGAUGCAAUUUACUAAGGACUGUCCAAUGCAGAGAGUGUUUUCAAUUUUAGGAUAUAAUAAAUGUGUGUGUGUGAAUUUAUAUGAUAAUUUUACUAUAAUUUACUCGCACUAAUGAGUAUUUACAGGUCAUCCGUUAAAAAAAAAAGAUUAAUCUUUCUACAGUCUACACUACCAGUAUAUACACCGACGGAAUUGGAUGAAUACCACAUCAUCUGAAUUUGAAACCCAUAAAAUGAUUAAAUUAGAGAGAAGAGAACCUUCAAUUUCUCAACGUGGAAAGCUGGGUUGAGGAGCUUUCUCUGUUUGGCCCAUUUUUCUCCCUCAUAGCUCACUAGUCCUUGAGCCACAAGUCUGCCGAGUGGAUUAACAGGGAGCUUCCAGAAAUCAUCAAUCUUUUGUGUAACUGCCUUUAUUAGAUUAGGGUCCAUGAUCACCACGGCAGGUGUCGGCCCAAACCAUAAAUAUGUAUUUUUACCUGGAAGUCAGAGCCGCUUCGAUUAGGGGCCGAAAACUAGAAAGUAUAAAUAGUCAAAUGCCUUCCACUCAGAAAGGAUAAUAAAAUCAAGUGUCUCAAAAAAUAAAAAUACAAGGGCAAAAUACUAAAAUAAUUCAAAUUCUUCAACAAAAAUUUUUUUUUUUGCAUCAAUCAACCUAAUAAACUAUUUAAAGUGAUUCAAUCAGCUCAUUUCCAUCACAUUCCAUCAAAAUCUUCGAUUAAGUUAACUAUUCAGAAUGUCAAGUACGAGCAAUUGGUAGGGAUAAAAUUGACAUUUCUUCUCAUCCACCUCCCUAAUCGACUAAAAUUCUUCAUUCUCAUCAACUUAACUCCCAAAACCUUGAGAAUUUGGUGGAGUGCAAUUUCAACUCUUUUAAGGUUCUUUUAAGGUUCUUGAGAAUUUGAUCGACAGAUUUGUUUUUUGUUCCUGCCAAAUUGCACACAUCCAUUAGCUUUACGGGACAUGUUGACGGAUCGAAAAAAGAAUUGAAAAAAGAUUCACAAAGAUAGUAAAACAAACAAACCACAAAUAGAAAUUAAAAGAAAACAAGAAAGGAAACUUGAAGUCUAAAGCUUAUUGGGAGCAUAGAUUUUUGUCGGAACUUUAAUCCUUGUUUUGUUUAUUUGAUCAUUUGAUUGCUUAUUUAAUCUGAUCAUAAUUGAUUUCAAAUUCAAGAUUCAAUCUUCAUUGUCAAAUGACAUGCAUAAUUACUGAUAAUCAAUUAAUUAUUAGGACGAAAUAAUAAAUAUCAGCUGUAUUGAGGCCCUUUAUGACAAUUCCAAGUUGUAAAACAAUAACAAGCGGAAAAAAAAAAUACAAAACGACCAAGAAAAACGACCAUCCUAAAAUACAAAAGCUGAAAGGGAAUUCAUACACCCUAAUACUAUAAUAUUACUCGUAUUUAAGUACGAAAUACAUCAGUCUGAAAAAUCAAUUGUCCGUACAGGUUGGAGACAUUAGUAUAUCUCAUUUACUAUUUUCCCUUUUUUUUCUCUUUUUUUGGGUAAGUAUCUUAGUCACUAUUUUUCAACAUCGAAAAGAAAAAGAGUAAAAGAAAAGGAGGUAAAUGAUAUUCUAUCUAACCAAAAGCAGAAAAAAGGGGAAAAAAAUGGAGAUCAUACGAGGGAUAAAAGAGGUUACGAGGCAAAGAGAUGGAAGCAGAGAUGGACAAGAACAAUAAAUACUACCAUAUUUCUUAACGGCUCCAAGAUAUUGAGGAAUAACUCUUGGUACGAUGUCGUCGGAGAGAUGAAGAUUCUUGGAUUGGGCUUCUUUAUGCAGGGUCGACAUCUCUUUGAAGUCUCCAUGGAGCAGCUUGUAAGGGUUUCCCCGGAAACCUUGCUCUUUCAGACGUUUCUCCAGCUUCUUCGGUCUAAACCAUACCCAGUUCAAAGCUUUCCAUGAGACUACUACUACUACCAGAAGCAGAAGAAGACGAGAGGAAUACACAGUAAAGGUUGAUACAUCGGUGGCUUCCAUGUUGUGUUUUUGUUUUGUUGGUUUUCUUGUGAGAUUUCUACCUUGGUUUUGUGCGUCUGCACGGCUAUCCGUUUAUUACUUGGAGAAGGGAGAAAAGGAGGAACUUUUAGCUCAGCACGGCAUGAUUGACUUGGUACACGAGACUUUGGAGCCUAUUUCUAUAUAUUUCUCGGAUUUUAGAGCAAAGUUUUUUUUUUUUGUUUUUGUUUUGGGUGCAAUUGAGGACCUCCAAGCCAAUUUAAUUUAACUGGACCUUGAAGGCAAUUUAAUUAGAACAAUUUUGUCACAGAAUUAGAAGGAUAUUCGAACUUUGUAUAAACCCUAUCGGAAAAACAAACAUAGAGUGGAAAUUUUAAUUAAAGGCUAAAUUUUUAUGUGCUUUAAAAUGCUGAACAGUUAUUUUUCUUUGGUAAGUAAAUUUCUGGACAAAUAUUUUUGUACAGAAACACUAAAAAUUUUGCUAACCUUAAAACGUUAUAUGUGUUCAAAUCUCUCCUUUUUCCUUUCUCAUUUUUUAAAUACCACCCCUUCCUUAUUAAUUUUUUAAAAAAUUUUUUUAAAUACCACCCCUUCCUUGUAUGUGUGAAUGUAGAGGACGUGACAUUUAAAGCACAUAUAGAAAACACUUUCAAUUGUAGAUAAUUCUCAAGUACACUAAACUUCGAAAAUUUUAUGAACAUGGCUGUAUUGAGUGUAGAAAUGUGGUGGAACUGAAUAAAAUUUCUGUGAGUUUUAGGUGGAAAUCAUAAGUUAUGAUUCGAUUAAAGAAGACCAAACUUCAAUUAAGUAAUGCCAUUGAGUUUUAGUAUCAUGUAUUAUGUAUUGAUUCAACCUUCAUUGCUUACUCGUAAUCAUUAUAUGAAAAAGAAUUAAGAUGGGGCAACAAAAUUUUGGAAAGAAUAUAAAAUUUGGUAUUGAUUUGGAACUAAUGAUAUACAUUUCAGAUACUUGCGUCAAACAAAUAUAUUAGAAUGAAUGGCCUCAUUUCAAAUUCAAAAUAUUCGAUUUCAAAUCCGAAUUUAAUGGCGAACCAAACGCACCUAAAUAUCCAAAUCUCGUACUGUAGAACAAUUUCGAGCUUUUUGGUACGUGUAACAUAAAUAUAUAGACAGCUAAAGUAGACAGACUGAGACAGCUUAGGAUACUAGCUAGCAAGGUCAGAUGUUCUAAAAGAACAGAAAAGACUAGACAAUGAAACGUGCACUCAAUUUCAACAAAUUGAUUAAUAUUGUACUGGCAGCAACCAACCAACCUAUGUCAGCAGUUAUUGAAGGCAAGCAUCUGGAAGAAACUAUUUGAAAGUGGAAAAUUCAUUUGCAAAAAAUUCAUUUUGUUAGAGAUUGAAAGAGUGGAACAUGACGUACAUUCAACAGCUAUAAUUGUUAAAAAUUCAUGAUGCAUUAAUUAGCUGUGACACUGCAAUUAAUUAGCUUAAGAAAGAUAUGGAAUUUGCAAAAUCAAAUAUUUUAGAUGAAAUCAAUUUUAAGUACCGGGUUAGCAUAAAUUUCAACAAUCCUCUGAUUUUAAUCCCUAAAUAUUCAAUUAUUACAUGGAAAAAAUCUGAAACAUGGAAUGAGUCAAACUAAGUGUUCGGAUCGAAGAUUAUUUGAGAUAAUUUUUCAAAAAAAUACUAUAUCACAAUCUGUAAUGCAUAUAAAAUAAAAAAAAAUAAUUAUAAAAUACGUUGAUAAUGAAAAUAAAUAAAUGUCAGUGAACAAAGCACUGAGUUUGUUUGGAUAAGAAUUUAUUUGGAUGAUUUAUUUGAUCUAGUUACUGUAGCACUAUUUGUGAUGUGAUGUACGUGAGAUAAAAAAGUGAUUGAGAAUUGUGUGUAUGAUGCAAGCAAAACAAAAUCUAAAAUUUUUUGGCCAAAUUCUUGUUGUCCAAGCAAACACACAAACUAGAUGACCUAUGCCAUGACGAUGGCAGACAAUCUUUCUCGAGGAAAAAUAUGACCAAGCUUUGUUUUCUUUCCAAGUAUGUUAAAUUGAUCCUUAAAUAUAUCUAUGCCCUUUAUGUUUUGAGCACUUUAAUCCAAACUGUCUUUUCCUCUUGUCUUGGGAGCUCCGCUGAAAUAUGAUAUUUGUGAGGUGAAAAAUAAAUUAAUAAAUUAAAACCAGAAGUCAUGAAGUCAACGUACAGAAUGGGAUAAAUUAUGGUAAAUUACAAUAUGAGUCCGUUGUUCUAAAAUUUUAUCACACAAUCCCCCUAUUAUUCCACAAUAUCCAAUUGAUGCCCAGUGACUUUGUGUAAAAUUCAGAUUAGCCGAAAAGCAAGACCUGAUAAAUUACAAAGGAAUGUGCAUAGUUGUUUUAAAUUUGAAUACCUCAUUAGUCAUCUCAAUGGUUUAUUAUUACUAUUUUUUAAAAUAAAUCUGAAGACUAAAGCUUCUAGGGAGAGUUAGAUGUCUUUAAAUGGAAAGUACGUGUAGAAAGACAAAAGGGAGUGCUGGAGUACCGGCAAAUGGCAACAAAAUAGGGAACAAAUCAAAAUGAAUUGUUAUUCAAGAAUCAUAGAGAUUUCCAAAAACAAAUUUUUUUUUGAGAGCAGCAAAUUAAUUAAGUUGUUACAUGGUAGUCCUUUUUAAGUAUAGAGCAAAACUAUGGCCCUUUUGAGUAGAGUGGUUUUAACCAAUUUAGAUAAACUUUGCAAUUGCUAUGCUUAAUUUUGUUGUCGAUUUCGCGUGACUAUUUAAAAUUGGCAUGCCAUAAAGGCCGAAGAGUGAACCACUGAGCUAAUGGCUCAGUGGCCACCAGGGAGGGACUUAAGUCCCUCCUUGAGCUGUUGGUGAGGAUUCAAACCUCACCAGCAGCGAAAAAAUCUAAGGAUUGUGCUAUAACACUCCCUUGGUCUAGUUGGGUCUGCAUACUCGCUAGCCCCUACUUUAGCCUCCUUAGGCUCCCCCUUCCCCUAGAUUAGGAUAGAGUAGGUUAUACAAAUGUAUCGUUGCUGACAAAAAAAUAAAUAAAUAAAGGCCGAAGAGUGGGAAUUGCUGUAUUAAAAUUAUAUAGUUUCAAUUAAAUUUCGUAUUACCGUCUUAAAGUAGAGAAAAUGAGCAUAUCACUAAUAGCAAAAUGAUUCAUUUCAUUUUUUUUCCUAGCAGGGGAGGUGUGAGGGUUUAAGAAGUAAUGAGGGAAAAAGGGAGAUUAGAACCUAAAAACUCUAUAUUCAGGGUCUCAACCUUCAAAUUUAGCCACUAAGCCAAUGUCUUCUCGGCGCAUAUUCAUUUCAUUUGAUGAUUCUAAGUGACCUUGCAGUGGAUUGUUAAUCAGAGCCGGAUUAUGACCUUUAACCCUCAUUUGGAAAAAAAAUUUAGCUUUAAUUAUAUCAUGUAUUCAAAAUCGCAUUCAGGGCUGCAAUCAAAUUGACAUCACAGUUCCAUCUAGGUUACGGUGCAGCCAUUGCCAGUUGAAUCAUAGGCAUAUUUUGUAUUUACAAUAUCGAUUGAUAUGAAAAAGAAGUCAGAAUCGGCAUUGAAAUUCAUUCUUGAUUGUUUCUAGCAGAAAAAAGAAGAAUGAGAAAAUAUUUUGGACCCACAUUAUAGCACAUUUAUGUCGAGUAACUACAUAGUAGUGCUAGCCGAAAAAAAUCAAAUGAAGAUUUAAAACACUACGUUAACUGUUUUGUCUUUUAUUCUCCUAUUAUUCUCCCAUUAUUCUGUUCUCUUAAAUUGAUAUUUUAACAAUCAUUAUAACAUUUUAAACGAUAAUAACAAUAUAUUCACAUAUAUAUAUAUAUAUAUAUAGGUAAUCAUAUUUUUUACACAUUUCCUCAGAGUUGCAUUAUGUAAAAGGUCAAACCACAAUAUUCUAAAAGUUUUGGUCUUAAAAGUCAUUCUCCUUUUAUUUGACUAAUUCUGCCUGCCGGCCUACUUCUCUUCAGCCUAAAAUUGCUCCCCACUUGUUCGUAUUCUUCUUGUGUUCUAUUCCGCGACAUUUUCCAUUUCCUACAUUGUUAAACCGUGGAACGAAUUGCAAGCCUGCAACGUUGAAGGCAAAUUAAACAAAGAGCCCUUAAACAACUUCAUUUUAGAUGUAAGAGAAAUAUACCAAUCUUCAUAACUUCGCAGCAAAUUAAACAAAGAGCCCAUAAACGGCCAUUGAUAACAAGAUUUCUUGUUUUACAGUUUCUUUAAGAUCAACUGAGCUCCAUACUGGGGUUGAAGAGUGAGCACAACUUGAGGAGCAUGUGCAUAACUCGGCGAAAGCUCCCAAGAAAAGCGCCGUAAGAUCAAAGCCAGCGCCAUCUUUGCUUCCAGCAUAGCAAAAUUUUGCCCAAUGCAAGUUCGAGGUCCCCAACCAAAUGGAAAGAACGAGAGAUUGCCUUUUGUAGCCUUUGAAACUCCCUCACUGAAUCUUUCUGGUUUAAAUUCCUUCGCAUCAUCACCCCACAAGUCUUUGUCCUGCUGCAGCAAGAUUGGGGCCACAAAGAUGAACAUUCCUUCGGGCAGUGAUAGUUCGCCUAAUUUAGUUUCUUCAGGAUUCAUUCGAAAAAAAUUUGCUGCCGGUGGAUAUAGCCUUAGAACCUCGUUAAGGAUCAUGGUAACCUUUAGAAAAAUAAACGUAAACAGAAGAAUGAUUAGUGGAGAUUGGAGCAACUAUCAAAAAAGUGCUAAGAUGGGAGCAUAAUUUUGCAAGUUAUACUUACAAUUUUGAGGUGAUUUAAUUUACUAAUAUCAGGUUCAUUGUUGUCAAAAACCUGUAGAACCUCAUCCCUGGCACGAGCCUGCCAAUCAAAAUGUUGACUCAAUAAAAUUAAUGUCCAGACGAGCAAUCCUGAGGUUGUCUCUUGUCCAGCCAAAUAGAAUAGCUUGCACUCCUCGAUGACUUCUUCAAGGCUCAAGCCGUUCUUAUUUCCAUGUUGUCGGAUCUCAUUCAAAUUGGAUUCCAAUAAAAUACCCAACAAGUCAUCACUUGUAGCUUCACCUGUUUGAAUUUCCUUCAGCCUUUCGUUGAUAAUGCCCAUAACUAAUGAGUUUACUUCCUUGAAAAUCUUCUGCAUUCUUUUGUUUCUUUUUGUUGGCACAAAACUGAAUGCAAAAUAGCAAUAACCAAAUAAGCUAAAUGAUACAAUUACAAACAAGAGAUUGAAAGACAGUAACUUACCUCCACCCCGGAAGGUAAAUGGACUGCAUAACUUGCUCAAAAUACAAAGCCUGUUCACUUUGGAGUUCAAAAAUCCUUCGCCCUUUUUCAUAGUUGCUACCAAAAGCUGUUCUUGAAAUUACAUCACUAGUAAAUAUUUGAAGAUAAGGCCACACAUCUAAUUCAAAAGAUCCUUCUGCUGGGGCAAGGUUCUCCCAUUUGCUUAACAUCUCAUUACAACUCAGAUAAAAUGCUGGCACCAUGUACUAUAUGUGAAGGAGAAUCAAAAGCGUAAGACUUCCAGCUUUUAUGUUCUUCAUUAAUCAAAAAGUAAGAAUGGAAAUAUUAAUCAGUGAAAUUUUAAAAUUGGAAAGGCUGCAUUUGGUUCUUUAUCUGGACUAGAUUGGAACCAUAACUACAUUUAUAUGAUGCAAUGCCAAACACUAGCCAGUCCCAUGUCUGAUAAAUAACAAGAAACGGCCAAAAGCAUGUAAGAUAUUGAAACAGCACCAAAUUUCAGGAGAAAAAGCUAGAAACAACCUUCAAUUUCUCUACAUGAAAAGCAGGAUUCAAUAAUCUUCUGUGUUUGGCCCAUUUUUCUGUAUCCAGGCUAGCAAGUCCUAGUGCUAGAAGUUUACUGAUUGGAUUUGCCCGAGGCUUCUGAUAAGUAAAAUUUUUUGUGAAGACCUCCUUUACUUGUUCAGGAUCCAAGAUAACCAUUGCCGGCCUUGGUCCAAGCCAAAAAAAGCUAUUUUUACCUACAAAAUAAUUUUUGAUAAGCAACUUAUCCACUCUUAAAAAAAAAGGAUUGGGUUAACCAUAUAUGAAAUGCAUGAUUGCCAAAAAACACAGCAAACCAAAUAGUCUUCGGGCAAAUUUGGAGAACAAACCUUUAUGUUGCAUUGUUUCAUUGAUCAAGGGCAUGAUUCUGGGAAAGAUAUCAUCUGUUAAAGAAAUUGGUUUGGACUUAGCCUCCUCAAGCAUCCUUCCCAUGUCUCUGGUGUCUCCAAACAAGAACCUGUAAGAGUUUCCCUGUAGACCUUGCCGCCUGAGGCGUUUCUCCAUCUUCUUUGGUGUGAUCCAAGCCCAAUUCAAGAAUCUCCAUGCCCCGAUGAGAAGAACUAUAACUGACGAAACUCCAAUCAAGCUAUAGAAAAAGUCCAUUUUCUCUGAUGCGCUUCCACUCCUUCAGUCAAACUUUCUGCUGGCAGGGGGAACUUGCGAAGCGGUUAGUUAUUGAGGGAGAACCUCAACUUUGGGACACAUAAUUCUGAAAUCUAUGCAUAUCCAUCUGUAAAAUCAGCAAAGACAAAGUAGCUUGAUGGUAUGUUCUCUGCUAAAAUGGAGAUGCUCUGAGACUUCAACACUCACCUAUAAAGGACAUUUGAGCCUUUAAUAUUCUUGUUUAUGGUAAAAUGAUUUUUCUACUCGUUCACUUAAAUUACACUUAAUUUACUAUAUGAACACACAUAAUACAAUUAUUAUAUCCUCUGUAUUUAAACGCUUUCCUAGUAACUAUAGUUUUUUUUUAAAAAAAAUAUAGCACUUUUGAGGCCACCCUAACAGAGGGGACGAUAAAGGAGAACCAAUCAACAAAGCUCGAUUAUCCAGCAAGCCUCGCAAAUCAUCCUCAGAAGUCUUUUUCUAUCUGCCUUCUAGAAAAAGUGUCAGUUCAAUAAAUAGAACUUGAGAAUUUGACUUUUGAAUUACCGUAAAAAAAAAAAAAAGGAUGAAGAAGAAGACUAUAACCGGCUAACUCUACAUAUAAAUGGCUAUUGUUAGAAUAGCUACUCUUUGAGCAGUGAUCCAUGGCUAUUAUUAAUGUGCUAAUGUGUAAUAACAAUUAAUUGUAGCACUAAAGUACACAUUAUGUUUUUGCUGAAAUCUAUUUAAAGAAAAAACAUUUAGUGGCUACAGUCAAAUGAAAAGAUUUUAGUACCCUAAUGUAAUUGAUGCAGAUUAGGAGUAUCAAACUCUUUUUCAUUUAAAAAUAGCAAGGGAAAUUCAAGUAUUUGAAAAUUAGCUAAACAAAGUGCUGCAAAUUGAUAGCACAAGGUACAGAAGUCCUAAAACUGAUAAUUGAAGAUAGUUUAGGGGAAAAUGUCGCAAUAAGCUUUGGAUGUAAUUUUAAAUACUUGAGCAUGAGAAGGUCGCAUGUAGAACUAUAUCUCAGGACCAAGAAAUUUGAUGCGAAAAAUGGCGAAUUUUUUUGUUACAGCCUUGACUCUCAAUGGUUUGGAAACAAAAAGAUCAAUGUGAAAUUUGUUUUUGAUCAACUGCGUCCUCUAAUGCGGUUCAUUAAUAAACAUAAUAAGAAAUCCCAGAACAUUAACAUUUGUCCUUUUUAACCUAUUAACGUUAAUACUUUGCAAAAUAGCAAUAACUCCAAAAUCUUCUUGUAAUUGCACCAAAAGUUUAUUAAACCUUACAGAAGCAGCGACCUAAAAGGCUAGCAUGAUAAGCAACAUGUAGCAAUUACAGAAGUUCAGUCACAUAAUCAAUAACACGCAUACAUAGUUCAAGUCCUGGAAUCGCUGGCGUUCAUGAAGCAGAUGAUUCAGAUAACAGGUUUAUACUACAGUUUCUUCAUAAUCAACUGAGCACCAUACUGAGGUUGAAGAAGGGUAAGAAACAAGUAUGGGGCAUGCGUAUACAAUGGAGAAAGCUCAAAGGAAAAGCGCUGUAAAAUUAAAGCUAAUGCCAUUUUUGCUUCAAGCAGAGCAAAGUUUUGCCCAAUGCAUAUCCGAGGUCCCCCACCAAAUGGCAGAAAACAGGGCUGGCCCUUAGUAGCCUUUGCAACUCCCUCGCUAAAUCUCUCUGGGUUGAAUUCCUUUGCAUCAUCACCCCAUAAACUUGGAUCAUGAUG